GAUGAACGCUGGCGGCGUGCCUAAUACAUGCAAGUCGAGCGAACAGACGAGGAGCUUGCUCCUCUGACGUUAGCGGCGGACGGGUGAGUAACACGUGGAUAACCUACCUAUAAGACUGGGAUAACUUCGGGAAACCGGAGCUAAUACCGGAUAAUAUAUUGAACCGCAUGGUUCAAUAGUGAAAGACGGUUUUGCUGUCACUUAUAGAUGGAUCCGCGCCGCAUUAGCUAGUUGGUAAGGUAACGGCUUACCAAGGCAACGAUGCGUAGCCGACCUGAGAGGGUGAUCGGCCACACUGGAACUGAGACACGGUCCAGACUCCGACGGAGGCAGCAGUAGGGAAUCUUCCGCAAUGGGCGAAAGCUUGACGGAGCAACGCCGCGUGAGUGAUGAAGGUCUUCGGAUCGUAAAACUCUGUUAUUAGGGAAGAACAAAUGUGUAAGUAACUAUGCACGUCUUGACGGUACCUAAUCAGAAAGCCACGGCUAACUACGUG
RNAcentral lists this ribosomal RNA (496 nucleotides) under uncultured bacterium. Its description in RNAcentral is "partial 16S ribosomal RNA". It matches the Rfam family "Bacterial small subunit ribosomal RNA", at positions 28 to 507 of the family's 1533-position model. The record is from RNAcentral.